RNAcentral lists this ribosomal RNA (777 nucleotides) under uncultured Neocallimastigales. Its description in RNAcentral is "partial large subunit ribosomal RNA". It matches the Rfam family "Eukaryotic large subunit ribosomal RNA", at positions 23 to 634 of the family's 3401-position model. The record is from RNAcentral. Lineage: Eukaryota; Fungi; Neocallimastigomycota; Neocallimastigomycetes; Neocallimastigales.
AGAGAGAGACAUGCGCGCAUAUCAAUAAGCGGAGGAAAAGAAACUAACAAGGAUUCCCUUAGUAACGGCGAGUGAAGCGGGAAGAGCUCAAAUUUGAAAUCUUCAAGGUUCUACCUUGACGAAUUGUAGUUUAAAGAAGUGUUUUCUGCUGAAGUUUUGGUAAAAGUUCUUUGGAAUAGGACAUCAUAGAGGGUGAGAAUCCCGUAUUUGACCAUUAUUUUCAGCUUUGUGAUACACUUUCAAAGAGUCGGAUUGUUUGGGAAUGCAGUCCAAAAUGGGUGGUAAAUUUCAUCUAAAGCUAAAUAUUGGCGAGAGACCGAUAGCGAACAAGUACCGUGAGGGAAAGAUGAAAAGAACUUUGAAAAGAGAGUUAAACAGUACGUGAAAUUGUCAAAAGGGAAGCGUUUGACACCAGUGUUGUUUUCUCGAAAAUCAAUUAAAAAUGGCUCGAUUUUGUAUUGUUGAGACCUUAAAAGCUCACUGUACAUUUUUCGUGUCCUUUUUUAAUGCACUUUUCGUUUAACAAGUCAAAACAUCAGUUUCUUUUGUUGUAAAAGGGUCAUUGGAAGGUGGCUUUCUUUUCGGAGAAAGUGUUUAUAGCCUUUGGCCUCUGCAAUCGGAGAGACUGAGGUCUGCAGCGUAGACUCUUCGGGGUUAGAUACAUUUGUGCUAAGUUAUAGCUUUUUAUAGACAACUUGUUGACUAUAAUUAGUCUUGUAGCUUACUCGCUUAUGCUAUUUUACCUACGCUUAGGAUGUUGAAGAUGUAGCACAUCAU